RNA transcript from Beta vulgaris subsp. vulgaris (sugar beet), 3919 nucleotides. It is a transcript of the gene named protein ALP1-like, with no coding region annotated. NCBI's taxonomy places the organism in Eukaryota, Viridiplantae, Streptophyta, Magnoliopsida, Caryophyllales, Amaranthaceae. The transcript has 5 exons. The record is from RefSeq and is a predicted model, not a curated record.
UAUAGUUCCCAUAAGAAUAGAGAUAUUCAAACGGAACCCUAACAUCCCAAAUCAAUUCUGCUUGGCACCUUGCCGAUCCCGAAAUCCUAAAAUUAAUUAAAAAAUUCUAUAAUUGCAAAUCCAAAAAAACCUCCCAAACUUACUCGUUGGUAGCAUCUGAUCGGAACUCGGAAGUAGUAUAAUGGCACCAGAGAUGGCAAAUAAACCACCCAGGGCCGCUGAAGACAAAAGGAAGGUUAAGAAAUCAUCACCGGCACCAAAAAAGGCUGAAGACAAAAGGAAGGUUGAUAAGUUAUCAGUGAUACCGGAAUUCAGCGUGAUGUUGAGGACUCAGUGCACGGGUCGCGGGCUAAUGUGGGUCAGGCUUGAUGAUGUUUGUAAAUCCAUGAAUAAGAUGGUUAAUCGACACAAGCAACGGGAGGAGGCCGCCACCACCCAUAAUCACGACAUAGGUACGUGCGAUCGAAACCUGUUUCCUACCAAAAAAUCCCUCCUAAAAGUUAUGAAACCCAUGUACCCCAGCUCCUGCACGCCCCCUCCGAAUUCGCUGUGUGUUUGUAUCAACAACACUCUUUACUGUGUUGGCGGUGACGAGGACAUCUGGGCGUUUCAUAAUGUUGCCUCUGAAAUGUAUACUGGCAGUUGGAAACUUGAACCCAAACCCCUCUCUUACUUCUUAGACCAAAACAAAGAAAAAUUUGAUCUACUGCAACGUCCCCGCCUUAAUCUCAGUCAUUGGAUGAUCCAAGCUCAGUUUCCUCCUCCUCCAAAACUAUACCAUGACCAUGACCAUGCUAAAGAAGCCAAAGCUAGAGGAGAUAGUGGAAAAGGCAAAGCUAAAAGUAAAAGUAUUGAUGAUGAUGAUACUAAUGCUUGCAUUUGGAGCUGGGUUGAGUCGCCCCUGACCUCCCCUAGGUUCUUUCCUCAGGUUGUGACUGUGGGCGAUAAACUCUACUUCUUCGGAGGCAACCGCCCGCCUUUCCCUGAAGUGGAGAAACCCACUGACAUGCCGUUUGGUGAAGUGUACGGCCCCGGUGGUCAGUUUCGUGCACUACCUGAGCCUCCAUUCCCUAGAAUCCCCAGUAAGACCAUGGUGUUGCUGCCUUGUCUUGGAGACAAAGGGGAAGAGAAGAUACUUGUGGCCUCUACCGCCUAUUAUCCGGCCCCUUCUGCCACCGUCAUGUACUGGUACGACACUCAUGACCAGUCUUGGACCGAGUUCAAGGAUGAUGACCAAGACCACAAUCUGUAUUACACCUUGUUUGAAAAGUACGGGGAUUCUGCCGUCCCUGUUGCGGAGCAUAACGCUACUUAUUGGCUCAAUGGGGCGCAUACGCCCCUCAGCCUUUGCUGCUAUGAUUGGAAAUCUUGCAAGCUUUACGAAGGCGAAUUUCUGCAGCAUUUUGGUGGUCCAUGUAGGCCUAGGUUUCUGUUCCAUCUCCAAGGUGAUUUGUUUUGUUUGAUUGAUGAGGAAGUCGAAGAUGAGAAACCUGUAACCCAAUUCCACUUCAUACUUUUACUCGUCUCCAAAAACGACUCUAAUGCUACUUUGGACACCAAACUCUUGGGUUGUUACUGCUGCAAACUCAGUGGUGUCCAGUGUAUUAGAUACGCUCAUCUAUUGGAAUGAAUAUGGGGUUUUGUUGAUCUGAUGAUUCUCGACCCAUGCUACUUGUAUAUUUGCCGUUAUCAAUGUGCUUCGAUUACAUAUCCUUAUAUUAUGCAAGCCUUCUCUACUUGCUUUUGUAGUUGCUCCACUUUUUGACUUGUACAUCUCCCAAAUUCACCUGCUUUGGCCUCUAAUACGUCAAAUUAUUCGCCCGGUUAGUAGUUACUAUGUUAAUGGUUGAAUAUUUGGAAAAUGACAUAGGUCGUUCAUUAGCCUAUACAUUGAAACAAAUUAUUUGGAAAAUAUGUCACAGUAUGAGGGUAUGAUAAUGUUAACAGUUUAUAAGCAUAUCAUGUCUUUGCACUAACGACUUUGAGAAGCUCUUUUCGGAAAUGUGUUGGAAUUAGUGCUUCAAAUUAAUUACUAGCAAGUCAAAAAGUAGUUAUUUUUGUUUCCUAUUAUUUAAUAGCAGUAAUUGGUUGGUUUACUUAGUCUUAUAGUUUUAGAAACAUGGAUAGUCCACUUUCAAUUAGGCUCCGUUUGGUAGGGCGUAAAAGGUUUUCACUGAAAAUAGUUUUCCCCAUUUUCCAUUGUUUGGUUUGGGCUGGAAAAUUGGGCUGUAAAAUAAAGGUGUAAAAUAGUUUUACAUUAUAAUGAAAACAUUUUCCCCCAAAAUUGGGAGGAAAACGUUUUCCAUUCUCUCGACAAACAUAUGACUUUCUCUCUCAUCUAUACUCACCUCUCCCUCUCAUCUAUACUCACUACUCACCUCUCCCUCUCAUCUACACUUUCUCUCUCAUCAAACGGGUAAAUUUCACGCCAUUUUGAAGCAGAUUCUCUCAAUACGGUUUCGUUUCGUCGAAUUUGUUAGGAAACUAUAAUGGAGUCAAACGAUGUUCAAAAGUCUCAGAUAAUCCGUAAAGGCAUGAUCGUAGGUGCUGUUGCUGCCAUUAUUGCAUCUGUCCUUGCUUUUUUGAAAGUAAAUAAAUCUAGGACUAGAAGACCUAAAAUAAUUAGGCAACCUUAUGUUAAUAGGGAUAGCUUGAGGGAGGCUAAUAUCGAUAGUGUUUUAUAUUGUGGUGAUUGUCAUUGUCUUGGGCAGAUUCGUACGAGACCUAGUGCUUUUUAUAGCUUAUGUAAUAUUUUAGUUGAAAAGGGACUUUUGUCGAAAAGCAAGCAAAUGAGCGUCAAGGAACAAGUAUUACUUUUUCUAUAUGUGUUGGGUCAUAAUGUGAGAUUUCGGGAUGUUGGGGGAAGAUUUUUUCGAUCUACAUGGACUAUACAUUGCUACUUCCAUAUUAUGCUCCAAGCAAUCCUUCGAUUGUACCCAUAUGUCGUGAAACCACCAGCAACUGACUUGCAACCAGAAAUUCAGAACAAUUCUAGAUUUUUUCCUUGGUUUGAAGACUUCAUAGGAGCUAUAGAUGGGACCCAUGUACGUGCAUCUGUUCCUCUUGAUAUGCAAGAGAGAUUUCGGGGAAGAAAGGAUAAGACAACACAAAAUGUUCUAGCAGCUGUUGAUUUUGAUCUAAAGUUCACAUAUGUCCUUGCUGGUUGGGAGGGUUCCGCUCACGAUUCAAGGGUUUUGGGUGAUGCACUUAAAAAGGGGUUUAACGUUCCCGAAGGGAAAUACUAUCUUGCCGAUGCUGGGUAUGGGGAUCGUAAAGGUUUUAUGCCUCCAUUUAGAAUAUGCCACUUGAAAGAAUAUGCCAACAACGCUCCUGAGAAUGAACGAGAAUUAUUCAAUCUGCGCCAUUCUUCACUCAGAAUGUGUAUAGAGAGGGCGUUUGGAGUUUUAAAAAAGAGAUUUCGUGUCUUGGAUGCAGAGCCAUUUUGGUCAUUUGAAAUCCAAGUGGAUGUGGUUCUGGCUUGUUGUGUAAUACAUAACUAACUUAGGGGGGUUGAUCGAAAUGAUGAAAUUACAAGAGAGGCGGAUUUAGAGAUUGCAUCACAAGAUACAAGAACAUCACUUUCUAGGAAGGAAGUGCGUGAAGAAACCAAAGAGUGUGUGAAAAAGCGUGAUGCCAUAGCAUUGGCUAUGUGGAAUUCAUACAAAAAGCGUCGAACUAAUUAAAAUUGUAAUUUUUUUUUCUUAAUUUAUUGAAGUUGUAUUAGUACUGAUUUUGCUCGUUCUUAUUAUUACAAAAGGCAACAUGAGUAUUGCUUAAUUUGGUGAAUUUGUGAAUAACAUUUCUCUGUUCGUGUCUACUUUGCUCUCCCUAUUGCAACUCUGAUUUCUGGUUCAGUGUUGCUGUUUUUUGGCCUGAUGAAGUGAAGGAUGCUAAUAGUAAAUGUUUAUGCUAUAUGACU